Non-coding RNA from Schistosoma haematobium, 44 nucleotides. NCBI's taxonomy places the organism in Eukaryota, Metazoa, Platyhelminthes, Trematoda, Strigeidida, Schistosomatidae. The record is from Rfam.
AUCCACCUGACGAGUCCCAGUUGGAUGAAAUGCGCAUCCUGGAU